UGAGCAAUCUGCCCUUCUCAUCGGAAUAAGCGUUGGAAACGACGUCUAAUGCCGAAUACGACCUCCUUUCGCAUGAUCGGAGGUGGAAAGCUCCGGCGGAGAAGGAUGAGCUCGCGGCCUAUCAGCUAGUUGGUGUGGGUAAUGGCCCACCAAGGCGACGACGGGUAGCCGGCCUGAGAGGUGACCCGGCCACACGUGGGACUGAGACACGGCCCAGACCUCCGUACGGGGAGCA
This 235-nucleotide ribosomal RNA is filed under the name uncultured bacterium. RNAcentral describes it as "partial 16S ribosomal RNA". It matches the Rfam family "Bacterial small subunit ribosomal RNA", at positions 118 to 350 of the family's 1533-position model. The record is from RNAcentral.